AAUGGAGAGAUGCUUUGACUUAUGUGGCUAAUUUAUCUGGUUCGCAUUUGCAGGACAGGCAUGAGGCAAUAUUUAUCCAAGAGAUUGUUGAAGAAAUAUGGACUAGGUUGAGGCUCUCAUUCUCAUAUGUUGCUAAGGGCUUGGUUGGAAUAGAUUCACGUUUCCAAGAAAUCAAUUGUUGUUUAGGUAAAAGGUUGGAUGAUGUUCGCAUUAUAGGGAUUUGUGGGAUGGGUGGCAUUGGUAAAACAACUAUUGCUAGGGUUGUUUAUGACUGCUUUUCCUAUAAAUUUGAAGGUAGCAGCUUUGUCGCAAAUAUCAGAGAGAUUUCUGAAAAAUUUGGUUCAUCUGCUUUAGAAGAGCAACUUCUUUCACAAGCUCUAAGGGAAAAGAAUAUGAACAUAUUGGACAUUCAUCGAGGAAUCUAUUACAGGCUGCAGAGUAAAAGAUUUCUUAUAGUUCUUGAUGGUGUAAAUGAAUUAGAACAAUUAGAAACAUUAGCAGGUGAUCAUGAAUGGUUUGGUCCUUGAAGUAGAAUCAUUAUAAUCACUAGAGAUGAACAUCUGCUGAUUGCUCGUUGUGUGGAUAUAAUAUACAGGGCCAAGAGCUUAGUUUCCAAGGAAGCUCUUCAUUAGUUUGAAAGCCUUUAAGCAAAACCAUCCUGCUGAAGAAUAGAUAGAGCUUUCUAGGAGCAUUGUAAGCUAUGCUGACGGUCUUCCAUUAGCCCUUGUAGUUUUGGGUUCUUAUCUCAGUGGUAGAAGUGUAAAUGAGUGGAAAAGUGCACACAAAAAGCUUAAAGAAAUUCCUGACAGGAAAAUUUUUGAUGUACUCAAAAUAAGUUAUGAUGGUCUGGAGGAAACAGAGAAGAACAUUUUCCUUGAUAUUGCAUGUUUCUUUCAUUUGAGGAAAGUAACCCAAGUGACUGAAAUACUAGAGGCUUGUGAUUUUUACCCAGAAAUUGGACUUCGAGUUCUGGCUGAUAAAUAUCUCAUUUCAAUUGACAAUGACAAUGAUAGGUUAUAUGUCCACAGUUUGCUAAAAGAAAUGGCUCAGGCCAUUGUUCACCAAGAAUCUCUCAAAGAUCUGGGCAGACGCAGUAGGUUAUGGCUUUAUAAUGAUAUCCAUCAUGUACUUGAAAGGAAAAAGGUAAGUGACCAUAAAAUUAUAUUGGUUAUAUGUAAUGCUUGUAUCAGUUCAAGAAUUUAACUUCUGCUUUACUUCUCUUUUCCUUGUUCUUGGUGAAUUUAUGGGGAACAGAAGAAGUGGAGGUUAUAUCCCGACAUUCAUCUGGAUCAAAAGAGAUAUCUGUGGACACUGAUGCAUUCGUAGAGAAACUUGAAUUUCUUCUUCCCAAAGGGCUUGAAUUUCUUCCCAAUGAUUUACAGAUACUUAACUGGCAUGGAUACCCUCUAAAAUCAUUGACAUCAAGUUUCAAAGCAGAGAAACUUGUUGAACUUGAUAUGUCAUAUAGUAGCAUUGAACUAAUUUGGAAGGAUAUAGUGAAUUUAGAUAAAUUGAAACUCUUCAAACUCAGUCAUUCAAAAAAGCUGACCAUAACUGCAGAUAUCAGAGGAGUUCCAAAUCUUGAGAGACUUAUUCUUGGAGAUUGUUCGAAUUUAUAUUAGCUUCAUCCUUCUAUUGGUGACCUCAAAAUGUUGAGUGUAUUAUAUCUGAAAGACUGCAGAAACCUGCAGAUGCUUCCAAGAAUAAUCUCUGGAUGGAGAUCUCUUUAAAGUUCUUUUGCUCAUUGGCUGCUCAAAAAUUGACUAAUUGCCAGAGAAUUUGGGGGAUUUUGAACGUUUGGAGAAACUUGACGCUGGUAAAACUGCCAUAAUAGAGGCGCCUUCAUCCACAAGCUUAAGCAAUACCAACAUGAACAUUGAAAUCUAGGGGGAAAUGUGUGAGAAGACACACUUGUUGGAACUGGUUUCGGUACUUGUGCCAGCAACAGGCACAAGUCCAUAAGUUUUUCAUUACCUUCCCUAGUAAGUUUAUCGUCUCCGACUGGACUUGAUUUAAGUUACUGUAAUCUCACUGAAGAAACCAACCCAAAUGAUUUUCGCCAUUUAUCUGCAUUUAGAAAUCUGAAAACUCUUAUACUGUCUUAUUGCCUGAAUCUUCAAGCUGUGACAGAGCUUCCUUCAAGCUUAGAGAAUCUAAGCACAUAUGAGUGCCCAUCGUUGAAAAACUUUGGUGAUCAAGUAUGUCACAAUUUUGGAAAUUCUACCUUCAAAUUUGUUUCAGAUUGCUCGAGAAUCAAGGUGAUGAAGAUGUGGCAAUUUUAUUGCUAAAACAUCAUUUUUCUUGUUAGCAAAAGUCAGGAUCUUAUUAUGUCGCUCAACUUCGCUGAGAACCAAGAAAUCAACAAUCCACACAGUGCAAUGCUAGCCAGUUCUGUCCGCUCAAAGAUGAGUAUCCUUUAUAAGGAUCUUUCUUAUACUCGUUUUGUCAUGCUGAGACUUAUUGCUUUUCUGCCUAGGAAUUGAAUUCUAGAUUGGUUCAGAUAUCGGACUACGAGCACUUCAUUAGCAAUUCAGUUGCCUCUUAAUUUGCACAAUAAUUAUACAUUCUUAGGAUUGGCUAUUUGUGCUACUUUAGAAGUCCAAAAGCAUCAUAGAGAGGAACAAAGAAAGAUGUCCAGUAGCUUCCACUGCUUUUGCAGUAUAUUACAAGUCCUUCAGAAUAUGAUUAUAGGUGUAGGUUUUAUAUGUUUUCUGUUGAAAGAAAAUGCCUAAUUUUAGGCAAAGAGUGUUUCUUCAGUGGAGACAGAUUGGCAAUGUCAACUCACCUAUGGCUUUUCUUUAUACCAUUUGACAAACACUUUCCAAAGAGGAAACAGAGUCGCAUUGAGGCUUACUUUAGACUUGAGGGUUCAGGUCUUGAGUUCAAAGAGUGUGGGGUUCGCCCUGAUUUCUUGAAAGAUGUAGAGUUCGUUCAAGCAAUGUUCCAAGGCCUCGAUAGCCCUCAGUUAGAAGACUUUACCAUCUUACUUAACCAUCUUGUACUAACAGCAGCUAGUGGAAGUGGAAGUAGCUCUUUUGUUGAGGAAAUUUUUUUUACUGAGAUUAAGAAUAUUCAAUUGAUUCCAUGAUUGAACUUAAGAACUGAGACAUCCAAGAAAACAACGCCGGUGCCUAAUCUUUUCCAGUUUGAUUGUUUUUACUUCAGACAUAUUUGAUCGAUCAGCCAAUGGGGCACACCCUUGUAGCCCUUGCACCUUAAGCCUCUAUAAGAGUUUCCAGUGAGCAAGUCCAGGAUUUGUUGGAAAUCUGUUGACUACCACAACUGUAUAGCACAUGAAAAGACCAUUUAAUAUUUCCAGGAGAAUUGGUUUUCACUUCUUUCAUCAGAUAAUUCAUUUUUAGUCUUGAGGGCUUAAUUGAUUUGAAUAACAGUUUAAACAAGAACAAUUUCACAGUUUCCUUAAUGCUUGUAGACAUUCAUGCAGA
Molecule: long non-coding RNA, 3446 nt
Organism: Pistacia vera
Lineage: Eukaryota; Viridiplantae; Streptophyta; Magnoliopsida; Sapindales; Anacardiaceae
Exons: 5
Source: RefSeq, a predicted model, not a curated record